CUUCUAGUUGUAGCAUGUGGGACACUGCCCGCAACGUGGCCUGAUGAGCGGUGCCGUGUCUGCACCCAGGAUCCGAACCCAUGAAACCCUGGGCGGUGAAGCGGUGCCGAGAACUCAACCACUCGGCCUCGGGGCUGGCCGUAAAGUUUAUGUCUAUUGAAUUGCCUAGAGCCAGGCACAGCUGAGAUGCAUUUAGCUCUGGGAGCUGCUCAUUUGCAAUCAUUUCUUCAAGGAGAUUCUGUGAGAGUCACUCAUUUACAGACAUUUUAUUUCAUGCUUGUGUCUAAAAGUCACUUUAAGAGUCAGUCGGAGCCAUUUUCUCACCUCCGUUGCUAUGGCUGAGCCAUGUGUGACCACCGACCUGCUGCUUAAUAAUGUCAUUUUGUGACUGCCCCUCCCACGGGAGCCCCGGAAUUCAACUUACAUUUUCAAUGGAUGGAGGAAAGGAAAUACCAAUUUUGUACAAAGUGUAAUCCACAAACAGCAACCCAGUACUUCAGGACGGCCCAGAGAACCUUGGAGGGACUUUCAGAGAAGCUUUUCUUCCUGAACUCUUGGGGAGUGUCUCUCCUUUCUGAAAGCUUUGUUUCUUACAAUGCCAGCCAGCGUCUUUUUGAAAGGCAGCCGCCUCAGGUUAUAAGAUGGAGUGUCUCUCAAACUUCAAUGUGCAGAAAAAUCACCUGGGGAUCUUAUUAAAAUGCAGAAUCUGAUCCAAUAGGUCAGGGUGGGGCCUGAGAGUUUGAUUUCUAAUAAACUCUCAGCUGCUGAUGGUGGUCCAAGGACCACACUUUGAGUAGCAAGGAGGUGGACAAAGAAAGCCACCUGGCGACAACGCCCUUCUUGAAAAAUAACACUUGGAGCCCAGCCAUUCCUUCCCUCAACACCAGCUCUCGGGGAGCUUCAUUAUUCUGAGUUUAAUUAUUGACUCUUUAGGGUCUAAUUUGCGAACCAUGCUAAUGUUAGCGCAUCACAGCACUGGGUGGAAGUGAGAAAGUUGUAGUUGUUUACAGUCUAUACAAACUCGGGAGACGGUGUUACCUCUGAUCGCACUUACCAUCGUUAAUAGGCACGCUCCUGUAAAGAGUCCCACCAGGUAUAAUUGUUUGCUGUGCAACAUUCCAAAGCAAUAGACUGAAAAAAGAACAAAAUUAA
Molecule: long non-coding RNA, 1152 nt
Filed under: Equus caballus (horse)
Lineage: Eukaryota; Metazoa; Chordata; Mammalia; Perissodactyla; Equidae
Description: lncRNA (ENSECAG00000048757.1)
Source: RNAcentral